UACGUAGGGGGCGAGCGUUGUCCGGAAUUACUGGGCGUAAAGCGCGCGCGGGCGGCCCGGCGCGUCGGUCGUGAAAGGCCCCGGCUCAACCGGGGUUGGUCGAUCGAGACGGUCGGGCUGGAGGGCGUCAGAGGGGGGUGGAAUGCCGGGUGGAGCGGUGAAAUGCGUAGAGAUCCGGCGGAACACCAGCGGCGAAGGCGGCCCCCUGGGGCGCACCUGACGCUGAGGCGCGAAGGCCGGGGGAGCGAACGGGAUUAGAUACCCCGGUAGUCCCGGCAGUAAACGAUGGGCGCUGGCUGUUGGCGGUUUGACCCCGUCAGCGGCUGAGCUAACGCGCAAGCGCCCCGCCUGGGGAGUACGGCCGCAAGGCUAAA
This 374-nucleotide ribosomal RNA is filed under the name uncultured bacterium. Its description in RNAcentral is "bacterial SSU rRNA". It matches the Rfam family "Bacterial small subunit ribosomal RNA", at positions 524 to 898 of the family's 1533-position model. The record is from RNAcentral.